This 205-nucleotide long non-coding RNA is filed under the name Mytilus galloprovincialis (Mediterranean mussel). Lineage: Eukaryota; Metazoa; Mollusca; Bivalvia; Mytilida; Mytilidae. The record is from RNAcentral.
UGCAAACUAAAUGUUUAACUCAAGUUUUAGCAAUAUGAACUCUCCUAAAUACAGUGAUACAGAGAUGCUUCUGAAUGGUUUCAGAACUUCGUUAACACGAUCGAUAUAAUUAAAUGAUAAAAAGAGAUAUCAUUCCACAAAGACAAAAAAGGAUAGCACAACAGGUCAACGUACAGCCUUCAACAAUUCACAAAACUCACACCAC